Long non-coding RNA from Sapajus apella (tufted capuchin), 942 nucleotides. RefSeq lists it as uncharacterized. The record is from RefSeq and is a predicted model, not a curated record. Lineage: Eukaryota; Metazoa; Chordata; Mammalia; Primates; Cebidae. The transcript is spliced from 2 exons.
GUUCAUUCACUCACUAUUUUUCAUUCAUUUCUUAUAUGCCAUGUAUUCGGUGCUAGGGACCCAUAAUACAGUGGACCCAUAAUUGACUGGAAGCAUCACUUUCAAAGCAUCAUUUCAGGAUGAGUAUUUCAUGUCAAGUGGAUUCAAGGAACAGUGUGAAGGAUCCAUGCCUCAGUCACCAUGAAGACCCUCCCAAGAGCCAGCCCCAGUGGGCACAUAUAAAUGAGUGGAGACAUGGAACUCACCCUUACAAGGCCUAGAACCUGACAGCACACACAAGACAGAAGCCCAAAUAACCAGGAACAGGAAGCUGAAGGUCCCCUUCUAGAUCCCUCAUGGGAAAUACACUCAGUUGCUGCCUAGGCCCCAGGGCUGGCCUCUGUUGUGCCUGCUGCAGGCAGAAGGUGGCACCUUGCUGUGAAUCUGAGACUGAGUCUGUGGCAGCUGCAGCACCAGCAUCCACCACUGCAGAGCCUGCCACCAACACAAAGAGGCGCAAAGGUAAAGAAGCCACGGGUGCCAUUUGCUCUCUGGCACAUCUCUGGCCACCACCUCCCCCACCUCCUUCCCAUCCCAUCACCCCAAAGACAUCCUCAGCUUCCAGCUCCCUCCUGCCUAUAGCCAGCUUUCCCAGGGCUGGGCAUGGGGGACAAAGGCUAGUCCUGCCUCUUGUCUUUGUUGUCGAGCCUUCUUGCUUGAGGCCUUUUUGGUCUAGUCUCUCCCUUUCCUCAAUGAAAAUUCAAAUACUCCAGUUUGGGAGCCUCCAUCCCAUCCUCUAGCCUGACCUAUCCAGCUAGUAUGGUACCUCAGUGAAGGAGGCGGUUAAAGGCCCAAUCGUUUCUUUUCUCCUAUUCGAUAAGGAAGCUAAUCAUUGGGAUAAUUCAGACUCAAAUAUUUGGAGACUUCUAAAAUUUAAAAUAGAGUUUGCCAUGGAAGAGAUUA